UAGGGAAUUUUCGUCAAUGGGGGGAACCCUGAACGAGCAAUGCCGCGUGUGUGAAGAAGGUCUUCGGAUCGUAAAGCACUGUUGUAAGUGAAGAAUGCCAUAUAGAGGAAAUGCUAUGUGGGUGACGGUAGCUUACCAAAAACGCCACGGCUAACUACGUGCCAGCAGCCGCGGUAAUACGUAGGUGGCAAGCGUUAUCCGGGAAUCAUUGGGCGUAAAGGGUGCGUAGGUGGCACGAUAAGUCUGAAGUAAAAGGCAACAGCUCAACUGUUGUAUGCUUUGGAAACUGUCGAGCUAGAGUGCAGAAGAGGGCGAUGGAAUUCCAUGUGUAGCGGUAAAAUGCGUAGAUAUAUGGAGGAACACCAGUGGCGAAGGCGGUCGCCUGGUCUGUAACUGACACUGAUGCACGAAAGCGUGGGGAGCAAAUAGGAUUAGAUACC
This 440-nucleotide ribosomal RNA is filed under the name uncultured bacterium. Its description in RNAcentral is "bacterial SSU rRNA". It matches the Rfam family "Bacterial small subunit ribosomal RNA", at positions 355 to 786 of the family's 1533-position model. The record is from RNAcentral.